RNAcentral lists this long non-coding RNA (323 nucleotides) under Ictidomys tridecemlineatus (thirteen-lined ground squirrel). RNAcentral's name for it is "lncRNA (ENSSTOG00000032606.1)". Lineage: Eukaryota; Metazoa; Chordata; Mammalia; Rodentia; Sciuridae. The record is from RNAcentral.
AUGCUUUAGUGUAAAAAUUCAUUUUCUAGAAGAUGAAAUGAUAUUCUUACCUGUUUCACAGCUGGACCCAGUGAAGCCUUGUGGGCAGGCACACACAUUAGCAGCAAUACAGGCUCCUCCAUUUCUACAGCCAUCUUUGCAAAAUGCUUUGCAUGUGGUGCCAUUCCCUGUAUAUCCAGGCUUGCAAACACAGUUGUGUCCUCCUACAGUGUUGAAGCACAAAGCAUUUUCAUCACAGUUGUGCUGAUUUGUGACACACUCAUCAUGUUCUGAAAUGAGGAAUAAAAUGUUGUUACCUAAAGAUAUAUUUUGAAAGAUACUAU